AUUGCUUCUCGGCCUUUUGGCUGAGAUCAAGGGUAUUAUGUUAUUAUCAGUUUAAUAUCUGACAGACGCAUCCUCUCUCCGAAGACAUUAUCUUAAAUGGAAUUUUGGAGCUGUCAAGUGGAAUACGAGCUUGCUAUGUCCACUCCGAGCAUCGACCUGGUAUUGUGGUACUUCUGGAAAUGGUGCACUGCCU
This is a small nuclear RNA of Artibeus jamaicensis (Jamaican fruit-eating bat), 193 nucleotides long. RefSeq annotates it as U2 spliceosomal RNA. The transcript has a single exon. NCBI's taxonomy places the organism in Eukaryota, Metazoa, Chordata, Mammalia, Chiroptera, Phyllostomidae. The record is from RefSeq and is a predicted model, not a curated record.